AGUUAAAAAGCCACAGAUCAGCCUAAUGUCUUGAAAACAUUAUGAAAGAAGUUUAAAUCUUCUAUUAACUU
Molecule: transfer RNA, 71 nt
Filed under: Hospitalitermes sp. C TB-2017
Lineage: Eukaryota; Metazoa; Arthropoda; Insecta; Blattodea; Termitidae
Description: tRNA-Ser
Source: RNAcentral